CCGUGCUAGAUGGGGAGGUAGCGGUGCCCUGUAACCUGCAAUCCGCUAUAGCAGGAUUGAAUUCCUGACCUGAGGGAGUCGACUUUCAGGGUCUGGCCUCAGUAAGUGGUGUUGAGAUUUGGGUCCUUCGCAAUGAGAAGUUCUGAAUCGUGUCAGGUCCGGAAGGAAGCAGCACUAAGGGGCCACUCUCAUGUGUCGAGGGGGAGCCUGAAUGGAGCUAACUGCUGUGGUAACGCCUGGAAGAAGCUUUCGAAGGUAGGUGCACGG
RNAcentral lists this signal recognition particle RNA (267 nucleotides) under Syntrophomonadaceae bacterium. RNAcentral describes it as "signal recognition particle sRNA large type". It matches the Rfam family "Bacterial large signal recognition particle RNA". Rfam says of the family: The signal recognition particle (SRP) is a universally conserved ribonucleoprotein involved in the co-translational targeting of proteins to membranes. Archaeal SRP consists of a 7S RNA and homologues of the eukaryotic SRP19 and SRP54 proteins. Lineage: Bacteria; Bacillati; Bacillota; Clostridia; Eubacteriales; Syntrophomonadaceae. The record is from RNAcentral.